RNAcentral lists this ribosomal RNA (433 nucleotides) under uncultured bacterium. Its description in RNAcentral is "partial 16S ribosomal RNA". It matches the Rfam family "Bacterial small subunit ribosomal RNA", at positions 30 to 507 of the family's 1533-position model. The record is from RNAcentral.
AGCGAACGCUGGCGGCAGGCUUAACACAUGCAAGUCGAGCGGACCUUUCGGGUUCAGCGGCGGACGGGUGAGAAACGCGUGGGAACGUGCCUUCCGGCUCGGAAUAACCCUGGGAAACUAGGGCUAAUAUCGGAUACGUCCCGAUGGGGAAAGGUUUACUGCCGGAGGAUCGGCCCGAGCAUGAUUGGCUUGUUGUGGGGGUAAGCGCCUACCACGGCGAGGAUCAGUAGCUGGUUUGAGACGAUGAUCAGCGACACUGGGACUGGGACACGGCCCCGACUCGUGCGAGAGGCGGGAAAGGGUGAUAUAGGACAAUGGGCGCGAGCCUGAACCAGCCAGGGCGGGAGAGUGAUGAAGGCCUUAGAGUUGUAAAGCACUUUUAUCCGGGACGGUAAUGACGGUACCGGAAGAAUAAGCACCGGCUAACUUCGUG